UACGUAGGGUGCAAGCGUUGUCCGGAAUUAUUGGGCGUAAAGAGCUCGUAGGCGGUUUGUCGCGUCUGCUGUGAAAACUCGGGGCUUAACCCCGGGCCUGCAUUCGAUACGGGCAGGCUCGAGUUCGGUAGGGGAGACUGGAAUUCCUGGUGUAGCGGUGAAAUGCGCAGAUAUCAGGAGGAACACCGGUGGCGAAGGCGGGUCUCUGGGCCGAUACUGACGCUGAGGAGCGAAAGCGUGGGGAGCGAACAGG
Molecule: ribosomal RNA, 253 nt
Filed under: uncultured bacterium
Lineage: Bacteria
Description: partial 16S ribosomal RNA
Rfam family: Bacterial small subunit ribosomal RNA
Source: RNAcentral